This 1020-nucleotide ribosomal RNA is filed under the name Staphylococcus aureus. RNAcentral's name for it is "bacterial SSU rRNA". It matches the Rfam family "Bacterial small subunit ribosomal RNA", at positions 37 to 1036 of the family's 1533-position model. Lineage: Bacteria; Bacillati; Bacillota; Bacilli; Caryophanales; Staphylococcaceae. The record is from RNAcentral.
UGGCGGCGUGCCUAUUACAUGCAAGUCGAGCGAACGGACGAGAAGCUUGCUUCUCUGAUGUUAGCUGCGGACGGGUGAGUAACACGUGGAUAACCUACCUAUAAGACUGGGAUAACUUCGGGAUACCGGAGCUAAUACCGGAUAAUAUGUUGAACCGCAUGGUUCAUAAGUGAAAGACGGUCUUGCUGUCACUUAUAGAUGGAUCCGCGCUGCAUUAGCUAGUUGGUAAGGUAACGGCUUACCAAGGCAACGAUACGUAGCCGACCUGAGAGGGUGAUCGGCCACACUGGAACUGAGACACGGUCCAGACUCCUACGGGAGGCAGCAGUAGUGAAUCUUCCGCAAUGUGCGACAGCCUGACGGAGCAACGCCGCGUGAGUGAUGAAGGUCUUCGGAUCGUAUAACUCUGUUAUUAGGGAAGAACAUAUGUGUAAGUAACUGUGCACAUCUUGACGGUACCUAAUCAGAAAGCCACGGCUAACUACGUGCCAGCAGCCGCGGUAAUACGUAGGUGGCAAGCGUUAUCCGGAAUUAUUGGGCGUAAAGCGCGCGUAGGCGGUUCUUUAAGUCUGAUGUGAUAGCCCACGGCUCAACCGUGGAGGGUCAUUGGAAACUGGAAAACUUGAGUGCAGAAGAGGAAAGUGGAAUUCCAUGUGUAGCGGUGAAAUGCGCAGAGAUAUGGAGGAACACCAGUGGCGAAGGCGACUUUCUGGUCUGUAACUGACGCUGAUGUGCGAAAGCGUGGGGAUCAAACAGGAUUAGAUACCCUGGUAGUCCACGCCGUAAACGAUGAGUGCUAAGUGUUAGGGGGUUUCCGCCCCUUAGUGCUGCAGCUAACGCAUUAAGCACUCCGCCUGCGGAGUACGACCGCAAGGUUGAAACUCAAAGGAAUUGACGGGGACCCGCACAAGCGGUGGAGCAUGUGGUUUAAUUCGUAGCAACGCGAAGAACCUUACCAUAUCUUGACAUUCUCUGACAACUCUAGAGAUAGAGCCUUCCUCUUCGUGUGACAAAGUGACA